GAAGUUGCGCAGUGGCAGUAUCAUAGCCGCUGAGGUUAAUCCGAGGUGUGAUUAUUGCUAAUUGAAACUGCCAUUGUUGAGCCAACAUUUAUUAUGUCUGGUGGCG
This 106-nucleotide small nuclear RNA is filed under the name Crocodylus porosus (Australian saltwater crocodile). RNAcentral describes it as "U4 spliceosomal RNA (ENSCPRG00005018915.1)". The stretch from base 1 to 69 matches the Rfam family "U4 spliceosomal RNA". Rfam says of the family: U4 small nuclear RNA (U4 snRNA) is a component of the major U2-dependent spliceosome. The structure of U4 snRNA from yeast and human has been reported. U4 snRNA presents a k-turn RNA motif in the 5p-SL related to recognition of Snu13 protein. The record is from RNAcentral. Lineage: Eukaryota; Metazoa; Chordata; Crocodylia; Crocodylidae.